GUUAGCUACAGGCUUAACACAUGCAAGUCGAGGGGCAGCAUUUCAGUUUGCUUGCAAACUGGAGAUGGCGACCGGCGCACGGGUGAGUAACACGUAUCCAACCUGCCGAUAACUCGGGGAUAGCCUUUCGAAAGAAAGAUUAAUACCCGAUGGUAUAAUCAGACCGCAUGGUCUUGUUAUUAAAGAAUUUCGGUUAUCGAUGGGGAUGCGUUCCAUUAGGCAGUUGGUGAGGUAACGGCUCACCAAACCUUCGAUGGAUAGGGGUUCUGAGAGGAAGGUCCCCCACAUUGGAACUGAGACACGGUCCAAACUCCUACGGGAGGCAGCAGUGAGGAAUAUUGGUCAAUGGGCGCAGGCCUGAACCAGCCAAGUAGCGUGAAGGAUGACUGCCCUAUGGGUUGUAAACUUCUUUUAUAUGGGAAUAAAGUUUUCCACGUGUGGAAUUUUGUAUGUACCAUAUGAAUAAGGAUCGGCUAACUCCGUGCCAGCAGCCGCGGUAAUACGGAGGAUCCGAGCGUUAUCCGGAUUUAUUGGGUUUAAAGGGAGCGUAGGUGGACAGUUAAGUCAGUUGUGAAAGUUUGCGGCUCAACCGUAAAAUUGCAGUUGAUACUGGCUGUCUUGAGUACAGUAGAGGUGGGCGGAAUUCGUGGUGUAGCGGUGAAAUGCUUAGAUAUCACGAAGAACUCCGAUUGCGAAGGCAGCUCACUGGACUGCAACUGACACUGAUGCUCGAAAGUGUGGGUAUCAAACAGGAUUAGAUACCCUGGUAGUCCACACAGUAAACGAUGAAUACUCGCUGUUUGCGAUAUACAGUAAGCGGCCAAGCGAAAGCAUUAAGUAUUCCACCUGGGGAGUACGCCGGCAACGGUGAAACUCAAAGGAAUUGACGGGGGCCCGCACAAGCGGAGGAACAUGUGGUUUAAUUCGAUGAUACGCGAGGAACCUUACCCGGGCUUAAAUUGCAUUUGAAUAUAUUGGAAACAGUAUAGCCGUAAGGCAAAUGUGAAGGUGCUGCAUGGUUGUCGUCAGCUCGUGCCGUGAGGUGUCGGCUUAAGUGCCAUAACGAGCGCAACCCUUAUCUUUAGUUACUAACAGGUCAUGCUGAGGACUCUAGAGAGACUGCCGUCGUAAGAUGUGAGGAAGGUGGGGAUGACGUCAAAUCAGCACGGCCCUUACGUCCGGGGCUACACACGUGUUACAAUGGGGGGUACAGAAGGCAGCUACCUGGUGACAGGAUGCUAAUCCCAAAAGCCUCUCUCAGUUCGGAUCGAAGUCUGCAACCCGACUUCGUGAAGCUGGAUUCGCUAGUAAUCGCGCAUCGGCCAUGGCGCGGUGAAUACGUUCCCGGGCCUUGUACACACCGCCCGUCAAGCCAUGAAAGCCGGGGGUACCUGAAGUACGUAACCGCAAGGAGCGUCCUAGGGUAAAACUGGUAAUUG
RNAcentral lists this ribosomal RNA (1439 nucleotides) under uncultured organism. RNAcentral's name for it is "SSU rRNA". It matches the Rfam family "Bacterial small subunit ribosomal RNA". The record is from RNAcentral.